This 203-nucleotide long non-coding RNA is filed under the name Elaeis guineensis (African oil palm). RNAcentral's name for it is "long non-coding RNA (EGUI_LNC067952)". Lineage: Eukaryota; Viridiplantae; Streptophyta; Magnoliopsida; Arecales; Arecaceae. The record is from RNAcentral.
CUCCCUCCCUGAUAUUUCUCAAUAUGUGGCCAAUCAAAAGGGGGCUUUGGGCGUGUGGAUGGUGGAAGGAGAAGGGGGCAGCAUAAGGUGGAAACCCUAGCUUACUUGCUUGAUGUUAUCAUCAUCACGCCCAAACACCCAUCCUUUUAUAGAUGGUGGCCAAGGGAUGGGAUAGAGUUUGGUUAAUUUUAAACUCUUAUCUG